Molecule: ribosomal RNA, 274 nt
Filed under: uncultured bacterium
Lineage: Bacteria
Description: partial 16S ribosomal RNA
Rfam family: Bacterial small subunit ribosomal RNA
Source: RNAcentral
AUACGGAGGGUGCAAGCGUUAUUCGGAAUCACUGGGCGUAAAGGACGCGUAGGCGGGUUGGCAAGUCAGAUGUGAAAUCCUACAGCUUAACUGUAGAACCGCAUUUGAAACUGCUAACCUAGAGUAUGGGAGGGGGAGAUGGAAUUAGUGGUGUAGGGGUAAAAUCCGUAGAUAUCACUAGGAAUACCGAAAGCGAAGGCGAUCUCCUGGAACAUAACUGACGCUAAGGCGUGAAAGCGUGGGGAGCAAACAGGAUUAGAAACCCCAGUAGUCC